This 1585-nucleotide ribosomal RNA is filed under the name Triticum aestivum (bread wheat). RNAcentral describes it as "partial small subunit ribosomal RNA". Lineage: Eukaryota; Viridiplantae; Streptophyta; Magnoliopsida; Poales; Poaceae. The record is from RNAcentral.
GGAGGAAAAUGGAGGUAAUGAAGGAAGCAAACGAGGGGGAAAACGAAAGGCAAACCUGUGGUGGUAUGAGAGAACCGAAGAAGAGAAGAGGAGAGGAAGACAACAACAACAACGACGACGACGACGAGCCCUCGUUACCCAUGAGGAUCAGGAUGGGGGAUGGUGGAGGUCAGAGGUUCCUGGUAGCAGUGGUUCUAGUAGUCGUACUUCGUCGUCGUCCUCCUCGGCCGCUGCGGCCUAGGCGGCGGCAGGUUCUAGUAUGACGUCGGCGCCGUGGCCUGGUGGGGCCGCUACACCACGCCGCGGUAGCGGCCGAAGCGGAAGUCGCAGGAGGAGUAGGAGCGGCCGGAGCAGUAGGAGUAUCAGAUGGAGAGACACUUCGGCUCCUGCGGCAGGAAGCUGUAGCGGUUGCGGCAGGAGUUGUGGCAGAUGCAGCCGAGCGGCAGCCGGAUGAAGUUGCCGCUGUACUGCGACCACCGGUUGUAGAGGUUGGGGUUGGUGUUCUACCCGCAGCAGUAGGUCAGGCCGCGGCAGCUCGAGAAGAAGGCCCCGUCCGAGCACAGCCACGUCCGCGACGGCGGGAAGCGCGUCGGCGCCCCGGUGAAGUGCCACGAGUUGCAGGUGUACGACAGGUCGGUCCACCGCGACGGCGGCCUCCACCGGCGCCUGGACGAGUUGGUCUACUCCUCGUUGUUCUAGGAGAUGUGGUAGUCUCCCUGGAAGUUCCAGGCCCUUUCCAAGACCAGAACCGUGAUGUGGAUGGCCAACUGGCGGUAAACACUGGAGCUCGAGUGGAGCGGAGGGAGACCUCAAGAAGAACUAUCCUCUACGUGUUGUAGUUUCACUAAUCAUUAACCAGAGACCUAGGUACGAGAAAACUAGAGUAAACAAAGAACAUAGUUUAACAUCUCCUUAACCCAGUUCCGUAUCGUUUCGUUUGUAUGAUCAUGAUACUGAAUGAUCACACCAAACUCCAACACCGAAAGUGUAAAGAACAAAUGUUCUAGCUAGCCAUCGACGGAAUGACGACCUCGGAGUUUCGGAAGGACGUUGUACAUGUCGCCGUCCGUUACUGUAUCUACUAUGGUCUACCGAAACCACUAAGAGGCAUCGAGAGAGACAACGUUUACCGCAGAGCCCGGGAAAUAUUUCACACGAACACAACUAGCAUGGUCUACGGUAGAAGAGGGUACAAAGGAGACAAUGCGGAGGUCAACUAAACCAAACUAUAGGUGCGAAGUAUAAAAGUAUAUAUCUAAAUAAAGGAAGGCAGUUCACCAGGUAAAGGGCGCUUUGGUUUAAUUCGUAACCCUAAACAUUAGAAAACAUUAAUAAUCAGAAAUGACUAUCCUAAUCUCACUAUAAAAUUCUUAUAGACCCUACUAAACCAAAUUUGUUGCCACUUUACUCACAUUUUUAUGUGAGUAGUUGGAGGGUUUCGAAUUUGGAACCAACAGGAGCUCGUUCUUUGUUUUAGCAUUCACUAAGUUAAAACAUUUGGCUUUAUUAUACUUCCAAAACUAAGUGAAUGCUAACCAUACUGGUCUAUCGGGAGGUGAAAGAAGUGGACUUUUCAAUCGUACCG